RNAcentral lists this ribosomal RNA (960 nucleotides) under Anamixilla torresi. RNAcentral describes it as "eukaryotic LSU rRNA". The stretch from base 267 to 960 matches the Rfam family "Eukaryotic large subunit ribosomal RNA", at positions 1 to 1179 of the family's 3401-position model. Lineage: Eukaryota; Metazoa; Porifera; Calcarea; Leucosolenida; Jenkinidae. The record is from RNAcentral.
GCUAGCAAUGCACGCCUGUGGUUCAGCCGGCUAGUCCUGUGCGUCGUUGUGUGGCGGAUCCGAACGGACCGUCCGCGGCGGCGGCGCUGGGCGAGCUGUGGUGCACUCCAUGGGCAUGCGCGUCAGCGUCGGUUCUCGGCGAGUGAUGAGGUGCCGGGGGAAGGUGGCUCGCCUCUUCGGAGGGGAGUGUUAUAGACCCUGGUGCUGGGCUCGCUGUGGGACCGAGGAGAGAGAUGAUCGCUGCGGCACCUGCCUCUCGGGGCUAGCCAGCUGUCGUCAGAUGUGUGUCAGGCGUUGAGGACUGCACGCAGUGCUUGGUGUCUUGGCGUGGUCUGGAGGUGGUGUGGGCAUAGAGGUGCCUAGGACGCUGGCGUCCAAAUGGCCGUGCGCGACCCGUCUUGAAACACGGACCAAGGAGUCUAACAUGUGCGCGAGUCUUAGGGUGUGCAAGCCCUCGGGCGCAAUGAAAGUGAAGGUUCAGCGUUGGUUGAGCUGAGGUGAGAGCCGUUGCUGGCCUGACGCCACGGCGGCGCAUCAUCGGCCGGUCCAUCCUGCUCUCAGGAGGAUCCGAGCAAGAGCGUAUUUGUUGGGACCCGAAAGAUGGUGAACUAUGCCUGAAUAGGGUGAAGCCAGAGGAAACUCUGGUGGAGGCUCGUAGGGAUUCUAACGUGCAAAUCGAUCGUCAAAUUUGGGUAUAGGGGCGAAAGACUAAUCGAACCAUCUAGUAGCUGGUUCCCUCCGAAGUUUCCCUCAGGAUAGCUGGAACUCGUNAACACAGUUUUAUCAGGUAAAGCGAAUGAUUAGAGGUCUUGGGGGUGAAACACCCUCAACCUAUUCUCAAACUUUAAAUCGGUAAGAAGCGGCGACUUGCUCAAUUGAAGCCGCGGCAACCAAUGUGAGUUCCAAGUGGGCCAUUUUUGGUAAGCAGAACUGGCGAUGCGGGAUGAACCGAACGCUCGG